GCGAAUCGCCCUUCGGGGUGCCCAGGCGCGAAAACUUUACAAUGCUGGCAACAGCGAUAAGGGGACCUCGAGUGCCAGGAUACAAUCUUGGCUGUCGCGAUGCCUAAAAAGCAUUGCAUAGCAAGGGCCGGGCAAGACCGGUGCCAGCCGCCGCGGUAACACCGGCGGCUCGAGUGGUAACCGCUAUUAUUGGGUCUAAAGGGUCUGUAGCCGGCCGGAUAAGUCUUUUGGGAAAUCCAGCUGCUCAACAGUUGGGCUUUCAGAAGAUACUGUUCGGCUCGAGACCGGGAGAGGUGAGAGGUACUUCAGGGGUAGGGGUGAAAUCUUGUAAUCCUUGAAGGACCACCAGUGGCGAAGGCGUCUCACCAGAACGGAUCUGACGGCAAGGGACGAAAGCUAGGGGCACGAACCGGAUUAGAUACCCGGGUAGUCCUAGCCGUAAACGAUACUCGCUAGGUGUCAGCCACGGUGCGACCGUGGUUGGUGCCGUAGGGAAGCCGUGAAGCGAGCCACCUGGGAAGUACGGCCGCAAGGCUGAAACUUAAAGGAAUUGGCGGGGGAGCAC
RNAcentral lists this ribosomal RNA (565 nucleotides) under uncultured archaeon. RNAcentral describes it as "bacterial SSU rRNA". It matches the Rfam family "Archaeal small subunit ribosomal RNA", at positions 313 to 879 of the family's 1478-position model. The record is from RNAcentral.